UCUUCUCUCCAAAUCAAAGAGGUAUAUAAAUUUCAGGUUUUCAUAAUUUUCUCCAUCCUUUCUGUUGCGGUACGACCGCUGCCCACCACCACUACACUACAUCUAUCAUCUGAUAAAUGAUCCAAAGUUUCACCACUGACCCUCUCACACUCUAGAUGAAUUAACUAAUUAUCAACUCAUCUGAUUCUUAGCCAAGCUUCAUAGAUCUGAGAAAAAUCAAACACCGAAAUGAAUUUUUGUUAAAAGUCGUACGGUUCAGGUCAAAAUCCCAGUUAGGUACACUCUAAAGAAUUGGAUGGAGAGUCAAAGAUUCAGCGACUACAUGAAAAUAACCUUUACCUACAAACUUUUCUCCAACGCAAUAUUGCUAGGAACAAGCCAACAUUCAUAAAAGAGGGAUGGCUCAAGUUCAAUAAAACUUCGAAGGCUUGAUUCAAGAGACUUAUGCCUCCACGAAGAGUAGUCAAAGGUCGUCUAACUAAGAGAUAUGUUCAGAAACAAGAGUUGCAAAAUGCAAUUGAAGUGCAACAACAAGGAAAAAUUAUCCAUGCUAAAUUCAGUGAGACUAUCUAGAUAUUAAGUCGAGCUGCGACUCAUCAAGUUAGACAUAGAGGUAAUUGAAAGGAAGUGGAUAAUACUUCAGAGAUCCGUAUGUUUUUAUAGAUGAAUUAACCAAGAUUCACAGGUUGAAGUGUCACAGAGGACCCCGAGAACUUUGCUGAAGUCCUUCAAAAAGCUUUUAACAUAUUGCAUGUUGUUGAUGCUGAGAGGGUGGAACUAGAUGCAUACCAAAUAAAGGGUAUCGCAAGAGUCUUAUUUUCCCAAUGGAAAAAGUAUAGGGCUGAGGAUGUACCAAUUGUAAGUUGGGUUGUGUUUGAGAAUUUUCUCAUGGGACGUUUCAUUCGUUGUGAGUUGCGAGAGCAAAAGAUAAGAGAGUUUCUAACCCUUAAUCCUGCGUUUAUGAGUGAUCAUGAGUACGGUCUGAAGUUUGCACAAAUUUCCUGCUACGAUCUGGAGAUGGUUGUUGACAUGAGGAGCAUAAUGAGUUUAUUUUUGGCUGGGUUGUCUCGUUAGUCAAUAAAGGAAGGAAAAAAAGCAAUGCUAAUUGGGGAUAGGCACCUAGACUUGUUUAUGAUCUAUGUACAACAAGUCUAGGAAACAAGUUCAUGCAACAAAAGAAUAAUGCCAACAGGUCCUCCCUUUAUUUAGAAGCAAAAGGGACCUACUCCAUCAUCUAUGAGUGCACCUAUACCUAAGAACAAAAGUGAGUACAAUAGUCAGAAGUUCAGAGCUAAUCCAGCCUCUUCUAAUGUCUGUAUGUCACAAAGGGAUAGUAGACCUCAUGCAUGUGGUAAGAAUGGCAGAAACCACUUCGUAUUUCUUGUGAGGGCUUUACUAGUUGUUUUAAGUGUGGUCAAAAUAGUCGUUUUCUGAGGGAGUGUCUUGAGAACUAGAAAGGUAUGGAAAUCAAGGAGAAAAGGUCCAAUCUUCUCCAGUUGCUCCACCGAAAAGAGCUGCACCUAGAGGGGCUACUUCCAAUAGCGGGGGAAGAAAAAAUCGCUUAUAGGCUAUCAACACUCGUCAAGAGCAAGAGGGUUAACUAGAUGUUGUCACUGGUGAAGUCUUUGACUUUACUGUUCAUUCUUUGCUAGACCCAGGAAUGAUUUUAUCUUUCGUAAAUCUAUAUGUUGCUAUGAGAUUUGAUGUUAUACUUGAGCAUCUUGGCGAAAUAUCCAGUGUUUUUACACCUCUUGGUCAGUCUAUUCUAAUAGAGAGAGUCUAUCGUGAUUUUCCCAUUUUCGCCAAUCACAGAAGUACCAUGACUAAUUUAGUUGAGUUAGACAUGGUAGAUUUUGUUGUCAUUCUAGGUAUUGAGUGGCUUGAUGCAUGCUAUGACUCAGUUGAAUCUAGAACUCGAGUAGUCAUUUUUAAGUUUCCAAAUGAGCCAGCCUUAGUGUGGAAAACAAUUUAGUAGUGCGGAAAAGUCUAUUUAUGUCGUACAUUAAGGCGAGAAAAUUAUUUUGUAAGGGGUGUGUAUAUCCCUUAGUCUAUGACUCUAGUGUUGAGAUACCUCCUAUUCAGUCAAUUCCAGUAGUGAAAGAGUUCCCAGAAAUCUUUCCAGAUAAUCUUCUGGGAUUCCCGCGUGAGAGAGAGAUAGACUUCAACAUAGAAGUUCGUCUAGAUACUCGUCCUGGAUCUAUCUUUCCAUAUAGGAUGGAAGCAACAGAGUUUGAAGGGUUAAAAGAAAAAUUGAAAGAUCUGUUAGAUAAGGAUUUCUUCGACCAUGUAUAUCACGUUGGGGCGCUCUGGUCUUAUUUGUGAGAAAGAAAUAUGGUUGCCUUAGGAUAUACAUAGAUUAACGCCAAUUGAACAAUGUUACGAUCUGUAACAAUCGAGGGGCACCUCCUAGUAGUUACAAGGUGUAAUCGACCCGUCGAAGGUCUCAUUCAUGCCACACGUAUCAAUCAUUGUAUACGAUACUCAAAAUAAGUAUGAAUUCAAAACUUUGUUCACGAUGAAGAAUACAUUCAUUAAUAAACAAGCGGAAUACUUUUAAAAAUAUUAUAUCUUUACAAUGUCUCAAUAAACCAUCUAUACGUUAUAAUACAACAUUUGGACUAAGCCCAUACAACACUUGAAAUAAGCACUAAAAAUGAACAUUUGGGUCUUGUCCCCGAAUCUAUGUGGACUCACCAAAGCAUUAUUUUCAACACUUCGAAACCUAUUCAUCAUCCAUGGCAUAUAAAGAACUCCAAUUCCUAAAGUUUAGUCAAAAAGGGAAAAGGAGUUAAAACAUUUAAUGCACUAAGAAUGGAACCCAUGCAAAAACCAUGAAAAAGGGACAUUUUUAGUAUGAAAACGUGCUUUCAUGACAUUUAGAUAAAACCUUCACAAUAAGAGUUUAAGCGAAAUAAAUAUACAAGUAAACAAUCCAAUAUAAGACACAUUCAAAUAACCCACAACCUACCAAAGUUUAUCCUAAGACCCACCUACAUAUGAUAUCAAGUGGCCGCCCAUACAUCCUCUUCAUAAACACCUAGGUGAUCCUCAAGACUACCCAAAGUAAGGAUAUUCCUUUUCAUCACAUAACACUUAACUACAUAUUCAUAUAAUAAGCCUUCUCAUCAUUUAUAGUCCCUAUCAAAGGUUAAUCUAAGAGUCAGUUGAGUAAGACAUGACAAGGCCACCCAUACACCCUCUUCAAGCACACCUAAGAAAUCCUCAAAGCUACCAUAGAAAAGAACCUCUCUAUUCAACAUGCUUUAACUAAAUCAACAUUAUUGGUCAAAUCCAUUUAAGAUACAACAAAACAAUUAGGGGACUUAACAUAAUGGUCUUGGAAGACCUAGGGAAUUUAUUCUAGCAUAUUCAAGGGCUACUCCUGCCAUGUAUAGAUAGUGUCAUUCCACUACAUACAUGUUGUAGAGCCCAUCCAAUACUAGAGUGUACAUCAUAUAUGAUGAGAAUAGGCAUUAAAAUUAAUAGACCAUACUAUCUAGGUAUGUAAUAUUGUGGCCUAAAACCCACACCGUGGAAGGUGUUCUACUUGACAAAGGUAGAACUAAGACUCAUCCCAUGUUUGCACAUGGUUAAGGGAUAUCAAGGGUUUCAUUAUACUCUAGUUUCAUACUUUAGUAGAGCUACUACCAUAAGCAUACCACUCGGUUUUUUUCUUUUUAUCUCAUAGAGUAAAUUCAUACACGUGAAGGUAUUCGAGAAGGUACCAUUUCUUAGUCUUACAAACUCAUAGUACCCCUACCAUGAAUGAGUAAACUAGGACUGCCACUCAAGGUCUAUUAGGGAUGUUGAUUUUUAAUUUUCUUUUCAUAUUCAAGGUUUUAUACAAGUCUUUCAUAUAAGGUAACCACUAUAAGUCUACUGAUUCUAGACAUUUAUUGAAUUAUGCGUACAUUCACAUACAUGACAAGGGUGCCAAUGUCUACCAAGUUAAGAGAUCACCUUCACAGAAUUUUCAUGUAUCAAUAAGAAGGAAAUAAGUCUAUCAAUAUAGACACAACAUUUGUCAUAUAAAAUAGUAAAUAACCUUCAAGUACCUAUUACGGACAACUAAUUCUACCAACACAAGAUGCUACAUCAUUCAAUAAGGACAUGUAACACACCCAAAAUUGAAUUAGGGAAAUAUAGAGCCUAACAUGAGUGUGUAAUGAUCUUAUAAGGUCUUAAAAUGACUAAUAAUAGUCUUAAGAUGAAGUGUGUAAUAUUUGGGAGUGUUAUGAGGUCAAACGUCUAAGACGUUCGAAAACUAGUCGAGGUUGAACUAGUGUGUCAUAGUAUUUUGUAGUGAGUUUUGGGGUAUGUUUUGAGGGUAAAAUUUAGUAUGACGUGUAAAGGAUUGAAACGUCUGAGAACGACGCCCCUAGGACCAGCCUAAGGGUCCCCAAGGAGGACCCAAACAUGGUCCAAGCAAGCUGCCGCGCCAGCAAAGAAUUGGCAGUAGCUGCGCGUCGCGUAGCCUGCAUUGAUAUGGGAAAAUUUUACCUGAGAUGCGAGUAUAUCACGAAUCAUUCUGUCUCAAAAUUUUUAAGAACCAAGAAUUGAAAAUGCCUCUGCGACGCGUAGUGACCUCAAAGAUUUGGCCUCGUCAUUUUUUUAUUCAAAUUAGAAUUGGUUAAAAUGUCCAUUAAGUUCAUGGGUCUUUUGGGAACUUUAGGGAUUAAUUAUUUGUGGUUAUUUUUUGUAUUUGAAGUAUAUAAAAUCAUUAAAAUAGCCAUUUAUACAUUAAACUCCAAAUCAAAACCUUUCUCUCACAAAAUUCUCCCUAAUCCACCAUUGAAGAAGAAGAGAAAUUGGAGGCAGCUUUAGGACGAAUUUACCAAGUUUUCAAGAUGGGUUUAAGGAUAUAAUAUAAGGUAUGUGAAGUUUAUUCAUAAAUGUAUUCUUCUAUUCAUGGAGUCCCCCCUAGUUUUCCAAAAUAGUAAAUCCAAAAUACCCAAUCUAGGAUGGGUUGUGAUUUCAUUGUGGGUAAGGCUUGAUUGUGAUCCCAAUCUAUUGGGUAGCGUUAAUUAAUAUUUAAAUUAUGAUUAUGUGAUGUUUUAAUAAGGUUUUCAUGGUGAAUUGUAGUAAUUGAUGUUGAAGGUGGUCAUGGUGAUUUUAGGUCAUUAGAAGUUAAAUGAAGGUUCUAAGUUGAUCUUGUUAAUUCAAUUGUAUUGUAUACUCCUUGAUCAUGAUUGAAUCACCUUGAUAUGAAUUGAACUAGGCCUAAUUGAUCUAGGCCGGUAUUGACUUGUAAAUUUUGAAUUGAACAUAUGUAAUCAUGUUUGGCUAGACUUACCUUCUAAUCAUUUAAUUCAAUGAAGUAAGAAUGUAAUUGAACAUAGAUCAUGAUGAAUUGAAGCUAGAAAUCGUUUAUGGGUUGGUAUGCCAUUGAUGUUAGGGCUUUGGGGGUGAAGUCAUUAUGAAGGGAAUAUGACGAUGUUUUUUCUACACUUAGACAUGAACAUGAUAGCAGAAGCAAGUUCUCUCACAUAGAUGUACUCUAGGUGGACCUAAUAACCAAAAAUUAAUCAAGACAUGACGGACUAGAUUAGAUUAAGGAUGGAUUGUAUGAUCACUUCUUGGGUGAUAGACUUGGUUAAACAAGACCAAGGCAUGACAGCUACAGAUGGUAGAUCUCAAAUGUAGCUUGAGAUAGUAAAUCUCAAGGAGGAUUGGGUUGACAUACUCAUGGUAGCUUGAGUGUUGAAUCUCGUGGUAUCUUGAGGUGAUGAUCUUCAUGGUAGAUUGGGAUAGAGGAAGAGCAUGUUUGGCUCAGCUUAAAAGCUGGUCAAACUGACUUAAAAGCUGGUUUUUGACUUAUUUAG
Solanum pennellii is the source of this 5822-nucleotide long non-coding RNA. RefSeq lists it as uncharacterized. NCBI's taxonomy places the organism in Eukaryota, Viridiplantae, Streptophyta, Magnoliopsida, Solanales, Solanaceae. The record is from RefSeq and is a predicted model, not a curated record. The transcript has 4 exons.